GCAGCAGCCGCGGGAAUACGGAGGGUGCAAGCGUUAAUCGGAAUUACUGGGCGUAAAGCGCACGCAGGCGGUCUGUCAAGUCAGAUGUGAAAUCCCCGGGCUUAACCUGGGAACUGCAUUUGAAAUUGGCAGGCUAGAGUCUUGUAGAGGGGGGUAGAAUUCCAGGUGUAGCGGUGAAAUGCGUAGAGAUCUGGAGGAAUACCGGUGGCGAAGGCAGCCUCCUGGGAUAACACUGACGCUCAUGCACGAAAGCGCGGGGAGCAAACAGGAUUAGAUACCCCGGUAGUCCCUGUCUCUUAUAC
This 302-nucleotide ribosomal RNA is filed under the name uncultured bacterium. RNAcentral's name for it is "partial 16S ribosomal RNA". It matches the Rfam family "Bacterial small subunit ribosomal RNA", at positions 508 to 807 of the family's 1533-position model. The record is from RNAcentral.